RNAcentral lists this non-coding RNA (126 nucleotides) under human gut metagenome. RNAcentral's name for it is "FMN riboswitch (RFN element)". It matches the Rfam family "FMN riboswitch aptamer (RFN element)". Rfam says of the family: The RFN element is a highly conserved domain that is found frequently in the 5'-untranslated regions of prokaryotic mRNAs that encode for flavin mononucleotide (FMN) biosynthesis and transport proteins. This element is a metabolite-dependent riboswitch that directly binds FMN in the absence of proteins. The record is from RNAcentral.
UCUCUCAGGGCAGGGUGCGAUUCCCUACCGGCGGUGACAGUCCGCGACUCCUUGAGGCACAGAUGCUUCAUGGACUGAAUCGGUGAAAUUCCGAUACCGACGGUAAAAGUCCGGAUGGAAGAGGGA